CAUGAAGCUGGAAUCGCUAGUAAUCGCGGAUCAGAAUGCCGCGGUGAAUACGUUCCCGGGUCUUGUACACACCGCCCGUCACACCAUGAGAGUUGGGAAUACCCGAAGCCUGUGAGCUAACUUUUAGAGGCAGCAGUCGAAGGUAGAAUCAAUGAUUGGGGUGAAGUCGUAACAAGGUAUC
Molecule: ribosomal RNA, 181 nt
Filed under: uncultured bacterium
Lineage: Bacteria
Description: partial 16S ribosomal RNA
Rfam family: Bacterial small subunit ribosomal RNA
Source: RNAcentral